GGGAUCAUAGCUCAGUUGGUUAGAGCGCUACGUUGACAUCGUAGAGGUCGUAGGUUCAAGUCCUAUUGAUCCCACCA
RNAcentral lists this transfer RNA (77 nucleotides) under Oscillospiraceae bacterium. Its description in RNAcentral is "tRNA-Val". It matches the Rfam family "tRNA". Rfam says of the family: Transfer RNA (tRNA) molecules are approximately 80 nucleotides in length. The record is from RNAcentral. Lineage: Bacteria; Bacillati; Bacillota; Clostridia; Eubacteriales; Oscillospiraceae.